Long non-coding RNA from Heterocephalus glaber (naked mole-rat), 3407 nucleotides. RefSeq lists it as uncharacterized. NCBI's taxonomy places the organism in Eukaryota, Metazoa, Chordata, Mammalia, Rodentia, Bathyergidae. The record is from RefSeq and is a predicted model, not a curated record.
GGUAGGAGACAAGAUAGCAAGACUAGCGAUGUAGAAUUACUAACUCUAGGAUGAGCAUCUCACUUACACACUGGGCUGAAGGUAAGUGCCCUCAGCUCCCAGGGCCUUGGUUUUCUCGUCUGUACAAUGGACACAGUAGCAGCACCUCGCAGGUUUGUUGUGACUUUAAAGGGGCUUAGCAUUGUUCUCAGCGCUGAGGAAUUGCUCAAUAAAUGCUGGUGGUUACAGUUUCCUUGGGAACCCAGGGAGCCAGGGCAAGCUGCAGAGAGGAAAAAGUGAAUCAGAGGGAAAAUGUUCAUAUCAGAAACUGGAGAUCAAAACAAAACAAAACAAAGCCCUUUUUUGGGCACUCAGGAAGCCAAUCUGAGCUGCUCCUCCAUGGCCUUGUCCAGCUUUGACAAAUGUUUUUCCUGUUCCCAGAGCAGACUCUGAUCCUCUUCAAGAUGGGAGACUCUCAGGGAAAUCUUCAGAGGUUUGUUAUGACGGAAGCAGGAAGGUGAUGGAUAUGUUUUGGGGCAUUUUGAAACACAAAGGUGAAUGUAAUUUGGGAGGAGAGCUGUAUUUUCAUCCAGAGCUAUUAAAAUGCACCAGAGUGCCCUCUCCCUAAACCCCUGCCAGCCUUGAUAUUUUCCUAGAUCUCCACUCUAGAACUUCUGUGAGUGACACAGGCAGCCAUGACCGAGCUCACCGGAGUGGCGCAGCCAGUUUGCAGAUGAAGUUUUCCCAAGUGGGCCCAGAGCUGCCUGCAAACAUGGCCAGCGACAAGGACGUGGAGUGAGUCACUUCCCUUUGCCGUGAUGUGCCCACAGCUGCUCAACUGCACGAUCGGGCAGGUCCUGCUUAACCGGGUGAGGUCAAGUUCGAAGAGCUGAGUCUUGCAAUCUGGGAAACCAAGCCAUGAACCUGGUUCUGUCACCAGCUGAAGUCAAGUUGCUCAAGACUCCAUCCUUCUCUAGAGAGCCUAUCGGGAGCUUAUUUGGAGUGAAUACCAUUCGGAAAAAAAUUCAGCUAAGAAAAACAGGAAUCAAGACAUCAGUACAGGUUGCUGACAGGACCUUUGAUCUGGCCAGAAAUAAAUAUAAAGGAAGCAGCCACGAGCUCUCUUGCUGAGUUGCCAUCCAAACCAGCGGAGAUCAAUUUCGGUCUCAGGUGGCCCCCAGGACCGGGGAGCAGUGGGUGUGAGUUCCACUUUGCAAGGGGAGGCUGAGGCUCCCUGGAGAUUGUCCAGUGCUUCCUGCCUCCCGAGGCAGGGGAUGUGGGGAGAAAAGAAGACUCCAAAGAGCUCAGCACUGGCAGUGGGCUGGGUUCCGGAGAAGAGUCUGACCUGAUCCAGACGUGACAGUGAACUGCAGCAUUUGGGAAACGACAGUGAUGACAGCAGGUCCUUUCUCAUGCCUCCCACACAGUGGGCAAAAUACUCACACACAUAACCUUACUUGACCAUUACGGGGGCCCUAGGAAGCACGGAGGACCAUUAUUUUCACUUCAGAGGAGAAAACCGAGGUUUGGGGUAUAUUCAUGAGUUUCCCAGGGUCACCGUAGCUAAGGUGCCUCAGAGGAGAAUCCAGGCUCUGUGACUCCGACACUUAGCCAUUUAACCACUCUUCUCUUCUUAGCUAAUGACCGCAGCCCAGACGUUUGAGUUUCUCAAUGGAAAUGUUAUAGUUUCCCGCCUUGGUCCUUGAGCUGCAGUAUUAUAAAAACAGCAUCAUGAAGCAUGGUAUUUAUUGAAUGCUUGCUGUGUACACAGCCUGUGGGGGACUUUGACGGUCCAGAGGUGGGUGUGCACAGGAGGGCUCGGGAAGGAGUAGGGGAAGAGGUGUGGUUAUUAGGUGAUGUGGCCCUGUGUCUGGCUUGGGUGGCAGGAUGAAUGGCAGGACCACUCACCAGAUCAGCACACGGAAGGAAAAGGAUCAGCGGGGAGAAGGGGACAGGGACACUGAUCACUCACUCAGCACCAGCCCCUUACUCCCUACAAAUAGACUUUGUUCAUGCUUUGGCUGGUGGUGUAGUGGUGGCGUGUGAACCAUUUCUAAUCCAUGAGUAUUAGAUAGGGGCUGGAAUGACUCCAGAAAUGUUGCUUCUUGAUUGAUCCAAGUGAUCCCAGAGAAGGGGUUGCCUGCUGUCCUGUGCUUUCUGCCUUUGCCUGGGGUCGUGGUGUCUGGAGCCGGGACCGCCAUCUUGGGAGCCUGUGUUGACGACGUGAAUGUGUUGAGCCUUGGUACCCACCUAAGGGGCUGCCCCUCGCCUGCAGAACAGCUCUGUGGCUUCAGAUGCCCCACAUGGCCAAGCCCACUGUCUUUCUCGUCUCAUCCGUGGCGCCUACAUGAGUGGAGCUGGUUUAGUCUCUAGACUCCUCAGCACCCAGGAGCAGAGUGAAGAGGUUGGAACACGGUCACUGCAAUGGAAACACAAAAGGCUGUUCUAGGCAUCUUCGAAACCCUCAGUGAAUUUCCAUCUUUCUGUCCAAUGCCUUUGUGGAAGUUUCAGGCUUUACCCCAAAUUCUUGCCUGCUUGGACAACCCAUUCUGCCUCCUAAAAACCACUUAAGGGUAAAUGUGUACACCCAGCAAUUCCACCUCCCCAUGCUCUCUGAGAGAAACACUUGCAAAUGCUCAUAAAGGGCCACAUAAAACAACACUCGUUGCCACCCUGUUUGCAGCAGCAGCAAAGUGGAGACAGCCUGAAUGCCCAUCAUCAGGAGACGGCUAAAUAAAUCACAGCGUGUCUGUUCUGGGAAAGAACGUUCAGCAGUUUAGAGUAAUGAGAGCAAUCUACAGAGGGAUUUGCAGGACAUAUUGAUAAGUGGGAGAAAUUGCAGAAUGAUUGCAUUCAUGUAAAAACAAAAUUAAAAAGCACGUAGCUGAACAUUGCUUCUAGCAGUGCAGAGAAGUUUCUCCAAGGAGCAAAGCAAGAACAGUGAAGCCAAGCAAGAUGGAUUGGAGGGAGAAGAAAAGAAAGUCAUGAGGAUUUUCACUGCUCAUUUUCCUCUUGAAAUACUGCAUAUUUGACAAUAAGAAUCCACUGGGCAUUCUUACCAUACUUGGGAAGUAAAAACACGCAGGGAAGGUGAAAAUUGCAAUUCUAAAGGACAUAAUCUCAGCACAAUUCUGUAAACAUGAUUCUAUUCCCAGUGCUUUGCAACUGGAGAAUGGAAAUAAAUUGUGUUAUAUCCGUGUACUGAAAGACUAUGCUAAUAAGAAAAAACAAUUGCAAUGAUGCACAGCGACAUAAAUGCUGUUGAGUGAUAUCAUUGGAUGGAAGGACCUAUGUUCCAAAGAGCCACAUUGCAUGGUUCCAUUUGCAUAAGGAACAAAACCACAGAAAACAAACCUGGGGGCAGAGAGGUCUUCGGGAGCUGGGAGCUUCCAAAUUCAGGGAUUCUUUCCUGAUCCGUGUGCAGGUUA